AGAAGGAAACCGAGCAAGUCCAUUUUGAUUCGAUUCUCUCCUUUUCGGACCUCCAAUCGCUGCAUCAUGUGAAUGUUUGAUUCAGGAGAUGUCCGCCGCUCCUAUAGCCUCUCUUCCACCGAGGGUUCGCCCUCGCUUCCAUCCAGCUACGGAUGGUAUCAUUUGGCUUUCUUAUUUGACCUAAUUAGGGCUCUGGGCACAGAUUGGUUUUCCAUUUGGCGAUUUGAACAGGAGAAGUCCAUUUUUUAUGGGAGUAUGGUAACCAGAAGAAGUUGCUCUACAUGUAAAGCUUUUGACCUUCUAUCUGCCCCAGGUUUUUAUAUAUAGUUGGACAAGUAGUAAAAUAGACAGAGCAGAUGGCUGUUGUAGAAUGUACUCCGAAAGGGGUUCCAACUGCAGUGAAGAAUAGAAAAGAAGAAGAAACACGAUAAAUGUUAUCUCUGGAUGCUCCUCUUUCAGUGUUUGCUCUUCUAUCAUUUGUUUUUUUUUCUUUCUGGUUCUUUAGUUUACCUUUAUUCUCAAAGACUGUUAAGUAUAAGAUUGGAAGAAACAAGAUAAAUGUUAUCUCUGGAUGCUCCUCUUUCAGUGUAUGCUCUUCUAUCAUUUUUUUUUCCUGGUUCUUUAGCUUACCUUUAUUCUCAAAGACUGCUAACUAUAAGAUUGGUUCUACUUUUGAUUCUUUUUAUUCCCUUAGAUUUGUUCAGCAUAGGAUUCUUUUUUAAAAAGCGAAAGUUGAAUUAUUUAAAAGCUAAUGUGUUUGCCAACUCAGGCGAAUAACAUUUUCCUCUACAUAAGUCCUUAAGGUCCUCUUGAAGUUUUAUUUACUCUUGUUCGUAUGUGUUUGUGUCCCAAAAUUUAUGUACAAUUUAGCUGGUUUAUUUUCGUAAAAUCUGUCAAUUCUCUGGCUAAGAAUAUUGGAUGAUGCUUUCAUGUUAAAGUAACAAUUUUUGCACUGUUCCAGAGGUGAAUAGUAGGAUCUCUUAUGUGAAAAUCAAGGGUGAACUUUGGUGCCACCGUAAGAUGUCCAUUUGCAACUUUGGUAGUCAGAGCUAGGGUCAUGGAACAUCUGCUUUGUUGUAUUUUGUAUUAAUGGGAGCCUUGUGUAAUGGCUUACAUUCUUUUUAUUUCUCAUUGCAAUGGAUAACAUCCUCAAACUUUUCAUACAUAAAGCUUGAAACAUUACAAUAUCUUUGAACAUUUCAAACCAUGUAGGGGGCUCAAUGAUGAAGGUAAGAUAGUAACUUAAAAUGGACUUGCACUAUUAGAAACUGGUAUGCCUUUUUAAAUUUCACUGGCGAAUCACUGAAAGUUUCAUAUAUAACUAUAUAUAUAGACAUAUAACUUCCACUAGUGGAUUGUUAAAUAUUUCAUAUAUGUUCCUCAUCACACAGGAAAUUAUAAUACUGACAAUAAAACAAUCUACUAUCCUUUUGGCUUGUAAAUGGAGCAUCAUCCCUUUCAGCCUAUCAAACAUUGAGUUUUCAAAGAGCUUUGCAGUUCUUAAUGCUCACCAUUUGUUUUGUAUAUAAUUUUAUGAAGAGAAAUAUGUUCCGUUUUCUUUAUGAGAUGAAUUUUUGCUGUUUUUGGCCAAUUAUUUUUUGUUCUAUAUAUAGUAAUCUAUGCAUCUACAGCUCCUUGUUAUAUUCAAUUUUAAUUCAUUUGAGCAGGUAAGCUGUUGAUUUGACUAAUUCUGAAGUGCUACUUACAGAUGUUUUGAUAAAGAUUUCUAAUUUGCAAGAUAGUCUCUCAUGGGCAAGCAAAGGGUUGCUUAUGGAGUGUGUUAUCACUCAUUGAUGCCAGCACAUGAAAGGUUAUCAAUGAUGAGCACUAUCAGUACCUGAUAACUUCCGAUGACAUGGAUCACGACGAAUAUAUUGGCAGUUGCAAUCAACCACCUUGGCUUCUCAAGGGUGAUGAGAAUGUUGUCAUCAACAGCAUUGCCAAAGGCCCAGUAUCCAAUUAGAGCAACAGGGAAGUAGCAAAUAGCAACAACAAGCACCACAUUGUGCCCUGCAUAUGCAAAGGCAACAUCUCCCAGCGCACUGAGGAAGUUGAAGACAACUCCUGUUGUGGUUGAAGCCUUGUAGCUGUAAUCAACAUCUGGUUGGCCUUUCUCCACGGAUGCAACCCAGGCAAUGGUAGAGUAGCUGAUCAUAUCGCAGAGGUACCUGAGGGACAUGACAGCCGCGGCCAAGGAGACGCCUGAGAUGGAGUUGAAGUCGGGAAGCUGAGAGAGAACAAACUGCACGGAGGCGAAGAUCAUGAUGAAGUAAGAAAGCUUGAUGUUCUUGCAGUCGGGGCAGAUGGUGUCGUGGAACUUCUUGAUGGACCUGCCACCGGUGACCAUGUACACGAUGUCGGUGCCGACCUCCACGAUCAGCUGCUGCGGGACGAUGAUCCAGAGCCCGAGCUUUUCUCCAAACACAUGCUGUCCCAGCUCGUGGUAGCGGUCGAAUCGCUUGCCAGGGACCAUCUCGUGCAUCUCCACCAUCUGCCAUAGGGUGUACAAGGUGAUGAUCCACGACAAGACGAGCACCGCCACGCCAGGCCCCCUGAGUUUGCGGCAACAUUAGUCUGAUGACACUCAUCCUAGAUCGAAUUGAAGUUGGAUUCGAAAUCAAAAGAUGAUUUAACAAUAAGAUCAUGAGAUCGAACUUGCAUCUCGUCGAUCGAGACGUAAGGCUUUAAAGGAAGGCUUUAGAUGAGAUGAGAUGAGGAAAGUAUACCAUCCGAGUUCUGCCAUGGCGUAGGGCAAGCUGAGGACGCCGGCGCCGACCAUGGCCGUGACAUUGUGGAAGGCAGAGUACCACCACUUGGCGCUCCGGUUCGAGGUGAUGGGAAGCCAGUCGUCGAUGGCCUUCUCCUUGCUCUGCUGCAGGAGGUCAUUGCGUUCCGGCUCGCUCAUGGGACCCGAAGCUCAGACAACCUGCAAAGAGAUGGAGAGAGGGACGCAACUUAGAUCUGUGCUCCUCCUCCUCUUGCCUUCCUCUCUCUUUCCGCUUCCUCUUGCGUUCCUCGUUGCGACGGGGUUGCGCAUAUAGGAGAUAGAAUAGCUAUGUUUCCCCAAAACAUGUGGCUGCUGUCGAAGACCAAACGAGGCAAAGGAGUUUUGACGGAUUCUUAUACCCGCCCAGGGGAUCCAGAAUCUCUCGUCGAGCGCGGGAGAUUCUCCGAAUCUAUCUCGUACCCAGUUUGACAUUUAUGGUGGGAUUCUGGGACCACACAAUUGAAGGACAGAUUUUGUUGGCGGUCCGACUCGUUGACCGACCGCAGAAGGAGCUGCCGGGCGCGUGUCGCAUCGCUGCAGCUUCCAAACCGAGAGAACAAGACGUCGUAGGAUCUUGAUGUGGGACCGUCCGACCCAAUGAUGCUAUUUCUUGGAAUUGAUACGGGAAAAAGGGAUCGUCUCGUUCUUGGCAAUCACGUCUAGUUGGAGAACUCGUUCUUGGUCGUAACAAGGCUUGUGAGUCUAGUGUGCACUGCAAACUAGCCAAAAGAAUUCUGAAUCUUCACUCCAUAUCUAAACGUUAUCUUUUUAGUUUUGAUAGGAAGUCCUUCACCCAUUCCUCAUGGGAGACCCCUACAAUUUAAACAUAAUAGCCUUCGUCAACAUGAAAAUGUCAAUAGUCUUUCAACAAGUCUCACCUGAAGAUUAGCUAUCUACCUUUCAGCCAAGCCAAAGUUGAAUCCACCAGAAGGAACUGUACUGACUGGUCAUUAUUGCCAAAGUCGAAUCAUGAUUGAGUCGUAUCACCUGGCAUUGCAUCAUCUUCCUCUUCCAACCAA
Musa acuminata AAA Group (dessert banana) is the source of this 3786-nucleotide long non-coding RNA. RefSeq lists it as uncharacterized. The record is from RefSeq and is a predicted model, not a curated record. The transcript has 6 exons. Lineage: Eukaryota; Viridiplantae; Streptophyta; Magnoliopsida; Zingiberales; Musaceae.